Long non-coding RNA from Passer domesticus (house sparrow), 2960 nucleotides. RefSeq lists it as uncharacterized. The record is from RefSeq and is a predicted model, not a curated record. The transcript is spliced from 3 exons. NCBI's taxonomy places the organism in Eukaryota, Metazoa, Chordata, Aves, Passeriformes, Passeridae.
UCCUCCCCACAGGCCGCAUGGCCUCCCCCACCCAGAGGCAGCUGGGCAGGGGAGAGGUCACAUCAGCUCACCUGCCGGACUCCAAAGAGGAAGUCUCUCUGGGAAUCUUCUGCUUUUAACCCCUGUGUGUUCUCAGAGGCGUAUCCAAAUCCUCAGUGGCCACCACAGGUGCCAAUUUCAAAUCUGGCCACUGAUUGGUUUGACCACAACUUUUCCAGAAACACAUUUCCGGGCCAAACCAAGACAACAGGGAACCUGAGAGGUCUUUGAGGAUGGGCUCACAAUCUAUCCUCACUAUCAUGCUCUUCCACUCCCACAAUGCCCACUCUCCUCCACCCUUCCCCUUGAACUUCAAAGGUUUGUCCAGCUGCCUUGUAAAGCAGGUUGAGGACUUAAUCUCUCUUUUACUUUUAAUUGCUUUUUAUUCACAGUCAGACUUCAUUUAUUAAUGUCCCUAGCUUUGAUUAAAGAUCAUUUUUUAUUGGAUAUAACUUUUCUACAUUUUUAUAAAUAUAUUCAUGCACAUUUAAUUAAUGUCUUUAUGCAUCUAUAUAUUGAUAUAUUUGUGCUACAUACAGGCAUGGUGGAGUCAAGACACAGGCAAUCACAGUCCAGUAUGAAAACACCUGGGGCACAGCAGUUAACCAAAUGGAAGCUAUUUGCUAUGGAUUGUGGCUGAAAGAGCAGAAUUCCAAAGGAGUAUGAGAGAGAAAUCAGCAUUUUUUUCUGGGACACAGUUCAUCUGACCUACUUUGCUACUUUAGGCUGAUCAUAAACACUUCUACAGAGUUCAAUGCUUCCUCCAGUUUCCUCCGGAUGGUGGCCCUCCAGCACAGUUCACAGCCCGACAAAACAGCUGUUGCAGGUUUUACUUGGUCUGUAUCUUCCUGUAUUCUGAGACUUGCACAUUAUACACAUGUUCUUAGGUUUCAAUUUAUCCAGUUGUGCUAGACUAAGCAAAUGUUUUAAUUAAAUUUUAUGAGUCAUAUCUUAAGCAUAAUACCCUUCCCAUAAUACCCUUAUAUCCAUGGGAGUAGCAUACCAUUGUGAGCCAUGCAGAUUAACCAGGGUGUGCUGCCUGCAUUGUUCUCUUCCUGUUUGGCAGAGUACUGACAGGGUCUAAAGCUCAGUCUGAAAGAAGAAAUGAUCUGACUCAUGAAAAAGACAAUAUGAAAUAGUCAGCAUGGAAAAGGCAGUGAUAACAAGCUCUGGCAGACAGAGAAGUUCUGCUGAAGAAUUCUGCAGGUGGUAUAUACACAGACGCAAGCAACAUGUGUGGUUCCCUGGAGAAAUUCAGUUGUAAGUGAGAAAUUUAAACUGUUGAUUUGGGUCCAUGCCACAAUGGGAAGAAAGAAUUUGUGAGACUUAGAGAUCUGCUUAUGCAGAGAGUAUCCUGUUCCUGGAAUACCUUCAGCUUAGGGGAAGUACUUUGAUAAAGAACUGUGGGAUAAAAUUUCCUCCAUUUAACUGAACAGAGAAUACUUCAAUGACGAAUGCUGUACAAAACUGUAUUUCUCAGGAAAGAAACACAACUUUUUGUAAUGUUUUGUAUGCCACUUGCUUAUUUCCUGAUAUGGCUUCAAUUUCCUUCAGAAAUGUACAGGUGAAUUUUUGUGGCAGUCAACCCUAAAUGAUCCAUGACCAACAGAUCUGUGAUGCUUAGAGUGAGAAAAGUGACUCCUAAACUAAAAACAACUUUGUAGGUAAGCAUAGGCUCUGAUGAACCCUUUUAAAUGACAGAAACAGGGUUGUGCUAUUCAACAAAAUGGACACAGUGUGUAGCAAGCAGAUUCACUAUGUUUGUGGUAAUAAAGUUCAGUCAGUGAGAGGAGAUGCUGAUCAACCUGUGCUGACCUCUACUGUUUUCAUUUCCCAUCCUACUUCUUAAUUAAUUCAGGUGCUUCAUAUUUUACUCCUUUUCUGCAUCAACUUGGUCCUCAUUAGGCCUGUUCUGUGUGAUUUUUCUGCUGGCAAAGGAAUGAUAUUAAUGAGAGAAACUGCCAUUUAAUUUCAGUCUCUCAUUAUUUCAUAUGCCAUAUAUUCAUAGAGAUUUUUUUUUUCUGUAGAUUGAGGUGGAUUGAUUUCUCUAGAGCAUUGCUGGCUUUUGAACCCUGGAAUCUGCAGGAACUUUAUUCCAUUAUGCUGCAGAAAAGGUGAAAUUCAAGAACUUAUAUUAUUGUGAACCAGCUUUGCUUAGGAAGAGAAGUUACUAUUCAUGAGCUGGGUCUAUUCAGAACCAAUUGUUAAGGUAUAGAGAAAGAAAGUUGUCUGUAUAGGUUGUAAACAGAAUUUCAUAUCCUUAAACUUUUUUAAAUUGUUUUUUAGAGAUACCUAUGUAAGUUUAUUUACUUUUUAUUCAUCUCUUAACAGCCCCACAUCUGAUCUGACUGGGUAUCUUUCCUUUGAUUCAAUUGUGUUUCCUCUUUCUUUUAUGUGACUGGGAAUUUAGAAAACACAAGCAAUUCUCUGUGCUGACUCACAUUCAUUUCUUUAGCUGUCUUCCAAGGAUACAGUCAAAGAUAAGGUCAAAAUUACUCUUGUUGUUCUAUUGAAAGUCUAAAGUGCUAGCCUGGAUUGAAAGAUGUAGUCUUCAAUUUUGUAAAAACCUCUUUCUAUUUUAAUUUUAGCCUGUUCCUUUCCCUGAAAAACUUUCUAAAGAACUGAGUUUUACUGCUUUGUGUGAUAAUGUGCAACCUUCUCCUGAAGUCUGACAGUUGGGAACAAUACCUAAUGGGACUGUCUGUCAAUUAUGACACCUUCCUGCUCAGCAAAGAAAUAAAGAACAACCAUUUAUUUGAAACUGCAUGUGAACAGAUAUGGAAAUUUUUAUGGUGAAUUACUGUCAGUUAUAUUCUCUUUUAAUUACUGUCAUGUCCUUUUGGUGAGUCGUUUUAUCACUACAUGUUUUUUCUGCAGGUUGGAAACUUCUGCUGAUUUAAUUUGUUCUUCUGUUUUGUGUU